This is a long non-coding RNA of Passer domesticus (house sparrow), 351 nucleotides long. RefSeq lists it as uncharacterized. The transcript has 4 exons. Lineage: Eukaryota; Metazoa; Chordata; Aves; Passeriformes; Passeridae. The record is from RefSeq and is a predicted model, not a curated record.
CAGCUGAACCUGCUGGUGAAGGUGGUGCAGCUUCCCAAGCCACGUCCAGGACUGAGGCACUGGGAGAUGCCGAGGGUGUGUCUGCAGGGAGGACUUGUCCAGCUCCUUUGCUGAUUCCUACACAGAAGCCUGGCAACCAUCGAAGGGGUCCUCUGAGGGGGAAGGACCAAGCUACAGGACACCAGAAACUCCAUGAUCCAUGUGAAAACAUGAGGCAAAUGCUGAAGGAAAUGCAGCAGGCAGGAGAAGAAGUGGAUGCAGAGGCUGGGCAUGAGGCGGCAUUUCCCAGAGGAAGCAGUGGUUCCGUGCCAGCCUCUGCUGCAGGAAGAGAGGCGAUGCCAGGCACAGGCC